This 453-nucleotide non-coding RNA is filed under the name Triticum aestivum (bread wheat). RNAcentral's name for it is "Bacterial large subunit ribosomal RNA". It matches the Rfam family "Bacterial large subunit ribosomal RNA", at positions 2049 to 2459 of the family's 2925-position model. The record is from Rfam by way of RNAcentral. Lineage: Eukaryota; Viridiplantae; Streptophyta; Magnoliopsida; Poales; Poaceae.
GUCUGUGAAGAUGCAGACUACUUGCACCUGGACAGAAAGACCCUAUGAAGCUUUACUGUUCCCUGGGACUGGCUUUGGGCCUUUCCUGCACAGCUUAGGUGGAAGGUGAAUAAGGCCCCUUUCCAGGGGGUGGGCGAGCCAUCAGUGAGAUACCACUCUGGAAGAGCUCGGAUUCUAACCUUGUGUUAGACCCGUGGGCCAAGGGACAGUCUCAGGUAAACAGUUUCUAUGGGGUGUAGGCCUCCCAAAAGGUAAUGGAGGCAUGCAAAGGUUUCCUCGGGCCAGACGGACAUUGGUCCUCAAAUGCAAAGGCAGAAGGGAGCUUGACUGCAAGACUCACCCGUCGAGCAGAGACGAAAGUCGGCCUUAGUGAUCUGACAGUGCAUAUUAUCAUAUAGAAAUAAGCGAAGCAUAGCGAUUCGUACUACCGGAAAAGUGUCGCUAACUGCUAGG